This 23-nucleotide non-coding RNA is filed under the name Arabidopsis thaliana (thale cress). Lineage: Eukaryota; Viridiplantae; Streptophyta; Magnoliopsida; Brassicales; Brassicaceae. The record is from RNAcentral.
UGGCCAUAUGUGAAGUUGAUGUA